This 505-nucleotide ribosomal RNA is filed under the name uncultured Rothia sp. RNAcentral's name for it is "bacterial SSU rRNA". It matches the Rfam family "Bacterial small subunit ribosomal RNA", at positions 1 to 507 of the family's 1533-position model. The record is from RNAcentral. Lineage: Bacteria; Bacillati; Actinomycetota; Actinomycetes; Micrococcales; Micrococcaceae.
CGGUCACGUCUCUAAGAGUUUGACUCUGGCUCGAGACGAACGCUGGCGGCGUGCUUAACACAUGCAAGUCGAACGAUGAAGCCUAGCUUGCUAGGUGGAUUAGUGGCGAACGGUGAGUAAUACGUGAGUAACCUACCUUUAACUCUGGGAUUAAGCCUGGGAAACUGGGUCUAAUACCGGAUACGACCAAUCUCCGCAUGGGGUGUUGGUGGAAAGCGUUAUGUAGUGGUUAUAGAUGGGCUCACGGCCUAUCAGUUUGUUGGUGAGGUAACGGCUCACCAAGGCGACGACGGGUAGCCGGCCUGAGAGGGUGACCGGCCACACUGGGACUGAGACACGGCCCAGACUCCUACGGGAGGCAGCAGUGGGGAAUAUUGCACAAUGGGCGCAAGCCUGAUGCAGCGACGCCGCGUGAGGGAUGACAGCCUUCGGGUUGUAAACCUCUGUUAGCAGGGAAGAAGAGAGAUUGACGGUACCUGCAGAGAAAGCGCCGGCUAACUACGUG